RNAcentral lists this long non-coding RNA (317 nucleotides) under Ananas comosus (pineapple). Its description in RNAcentral is "long non-coding RNA (ACOM_LNC014989)". Lineage: Eukaryota; Viridiplantae; Streptophyta; Magnoliopsida; Poales; Bromeliaceae. The record is from RNAcentral.
UCUCCUUAAAAUUGUUCGUAUAUAUAUUCAUAAAAUAGAGAUUAGCUACAAAAUAAUAUAAAAAAUGUCGACGAGUCGAUCAAGUCGAGGUAUAAAAAUCUCACUCUCUUUAAAAGAUUCAAGCCCUCUGCGGUUGGCAAACCUUUGAACUGACGUAGGAGAACACUGACCUUUCCCCUUCACGAUACAACGGCUCAACCUUUGCCAUAUGGUUUCACCAACUCUGCAUAAGUGAAUAAACUCAAAGCUUUACCAAAAGAACUUCUUUAUCCUUCUCUCUCUCACAAGUAUAAUAAAAGUAACUUUUUUACUUUUUC